UCCUGACCUCAAGUGAUCCGCCCGCCUUGACCUCCCAAAGUACUGGGAUUACAGACAUAAGCCACUGUACCUGGCCCCCAUCUGGGUCUUAUAAGUGGAUGGACUAGAGACCAAGGAAAGAAAUCAGGUGAAGAAAGGUAUAGCUGUGAUACCGUGUUAUCUCCUUGAAAAUCACUGACAAGAAUGUCAGAUACUUAAAAAAAAAAAAAAAAAAAAAAAACUCUC
Molecule: long non-coding RNA, 225 nt
Organism: Cercocebus atys (sooty mangabey)
Lineage: Eukaryota; Metazoa; Chordata; Mammalia; Primates; Cercopithecidae
Exons: 2
Source: RefSeq, a predicted model, not a curated record